RNAcentral lists this unclassified non-coding RNA (233 nucleotides) under plant metagenome. RNAcentral describes it as "partial contains small subunit ribosomal RNA, internal transcribed spacer 1, and 5.8S ribosomal RNA". The record is from RNAcentral.
UCUCCGUAGGUGAACCUGCGGAAGGAUCAUUACUGAGUGAGGGCCCUCUGGGUCCAACCUCCCACCCGUGUUUAUUAUACCUUGUUGCUUCGGUGAGCCCGCCUCACGGCCGCCGGGGGGCAUCUGCCCCCGGGCCCGCGCCCACCGAAGACACCUAGAACUCUGUAUGAAGAUUGCAGUCUGAGCAAAAACUAAAUAAGUUAAAACUUUCAACAACGGAUCUCUUGGUUCCG